RNAcentral lists this ribosomal RNA (460 nucleotides) under uncultured bacterium. RNAcentral describes it as "partial 16S ribosomal RNA". It matches the Rfam family "Bacterial small subunit ribosomal RNA", at positions 338 to 795 of the family's 1533-position model. The record is from RNAcentral.
CCUACGGGUGGCAGCAGUGAGGAAUAUUGGUCAAUGGCCGAGAGGCUGAACCAGCCAAGUCGCGUGAGGGAAGACGGCCCUACGGGUUGUAAACCUCUUUUGUCGGGGAGCAAAGCGAACCACGUGUGGUUCAUUGAGAGUACCCGAAGAAAAAGCAUCGGCUAACUCCGUGCCAGCAGCCGCGGUAAUACGGAGGAUGCGAGCGUUAUCCGGAAUCAUUGGGCGUAAAGCGUUCGUAGGCGGCAAGGUAAGUCUGAUGUUAAAGCCCGGGGCUCAACUCCGGUUCGGCAUUGGAUACUAUCUAGCUAGAAUGUGGUAGAGGUAAAGGGAAUUCCUGGUGUAGCGGUGAAAUGCGUAGAUAUCAGGAGGAACAUCGGUGGCGAAAGCGCUUUACUGGACCAUUAUUGACGCUGAGGAACGAAAGCCAGGGGAGCAAAUGGGAUUAGAUACCCUUGUAGUC